This 73-nucleotide transfer RNA is filed under the name Gammaproteobacteria bacterium. RNAcentral describes it as "tRNA-Ile". It matches the Rfam family "tRNA". Rfam says of the family: Transfer RNA (tRNA) molecules are approximately 80 nucleotides in length. Their secondary structure includes four short double-helical elements and three loops (D, anti-codon, and T loops). Further hydrogen bonds mediate the characteristic L-shaped molecular structure. tRNAs have two regions of fundamental functional importance: the anti-codon, which is responsible for specific mRNA codon recognition, and the 3' end, to which the tRNAs corresponding amino acid is attached (by aminoacyl-tRNA synthetases). tRNAs cope with the degeneracy of the genetic code in two manners: having more than one tRNA (with a specific anti-codon) for a particular amino acid; and 'wobble' base-pairing, i.e. permitting non-standard base-pairing at the 3rd anti-codon position. Lineage: Bacteria; Pseudomonadati; Pseudomonadota; Gammaproteobacteria. The record is from RNAcentral.
CGGAAGAUAGCUCAGUUUGGUAGAGCAGUUGACUCAUAAUCAAUCGGUCGCGGGUUCGACUCCCGCUCUUUAU